AACAUCGCGCACCUGCGGGAACCUGCGGAGGGAUCAUUACCGAGUUUACAACUCCCAAACCCCUGUGAACAUACCAAUUGUUGCCUCGGCGGAUCAGCCCACUCCCGGUAAAACGGGACGGCCCGCCAGAGGACCCCUAAACUCUGUUUCUAUAUGUAACUUCUGAGUAAAACCAUAAAUAAAUCAAAACUUUCAACAACGGAUCU
RNAcentral lists this unclassified non-coding RNA (206 nucleotides) under soil metagenome. Its description in RNAcentral is "partial contains 5.8S ribosomal RNA, internal transcribed spacer 2, and large subunit ribosomal RNA". The record is from RNAcentral.